UACGGGGGGGGGCAAGCGUUGUUCGGAAUUACUGGGCGUAAAGGGCUCGUAGGCGGCCAACUAAGUCGGAUGUGAAAUCCCCAGGCUUAACCUGGGAACUGCAUCCGAUACUGGAUGGCUUGAAUUCGGGAGAGGGAUGCAGAAUUCCAGGUGUAGCGGUGAAAUGCGUAGAUAUGCGGAGGAACACCGAUGGCGAAGGCAAUCCCCUGGGCCUGCACUGACGCUCAUGCACGAAAGCGUGGGGAGCAAACAGG
This 254-nucleotide ribosomal RNA is filed under the name uncultured bacterium. RNAcentral's name for it is "partial 16S ribosomal RNA". It matches the Rfam family "Bacterial small subunit ribosomal RNA", at positions 524 to 776 of the family's 1533-position model. The record is from RNAcentral.